AAAUUGAAGAGUUUGAUCAUGGCUCAGAUUGAACGCUGGCGGCAGGCCUAACACAUGCAAGUCGAACGGUAACAGGAAGCAGCUUGCUGCUUCGCUGACGAGUGGCGGACGGGUGAGUAAUGUCUGGGAAACUGCCUGAUGGAGGGGGAUAACUACUGGAAACGGUAGCUAAUACCGCAUAAUGUCGCAAGACCAAAGAGGGGGACCUUCGGGCCUCUUGCCAUCGGAUGUGCCCAGAUGGGAUUAGCUUGUUGGUGGGGUAACGGCUCACCAAGGCGACGAUCCCUAGCUGGUCUGAGAGGAUGACCAGCCACACUGGAACUGAGACACGGUCCAGACUCCUACGGGAGGCAGCAGUGGGGAAUAUUGCACAAUGGGCGCAAGCCUGAUGCAGCCAUGCCGCGUGUAUGAAGAAGGCCUUCGGGUUGUAAAGUACUUUCAGCGGG
This 446-nucleotide ribosomal RNA is filed under the name Escherichia coli. RNAcentral describes it as "bacterial SSU rRNA". It matches the Rfam family "Bacterial small subunit ribosomal RNA", at positions 1 to 443 of the family's 1533-position model. Lineage: Bacteria; Pseudomonadati; Pseudomonadota; Gammaproteobacteria; Enterobacterales; Enterobacteriaceae. The record is from RNAcentral.